RNAcentral lists this ribosomal RNA (506 nucleotides) under uncultured bacterium. RNAcentral's name for it is "partial 16S ribosomal RNA". It matches the Rfam family "Bacterial small subunit ribosomal RNA", at positions 29 to 523 of the family's 1533-position model. The record is from RNAcentral.
AGUGAACGCUGGCGGUAGGCCUAACACAUGCAAGUCGAACGGCAGCACAGAGGAGCUUGCUCCUUGGGUGGCGAGUGGCGGACGGGUGAGGAAUACAUCGGAAUCUACUCUGUCGUGGGGGAUAACGUAGGGAAACUUACGCUAAUACCGCAUACGACCUACGGGUGAAAGCAGGGGAUCUUCGGACCUUGCGCGAUUGAAUGAGCCGAUGUCGGAUUAGCUAGUUGGCGGGGUCAAGGCCCACCAAGGCGACGAUCCGUAGCUGGUCUGAGAGGAUGAUCAGCCACACUGGAACGUGGACACGGUCCAGACUCCUACGGGAGGCAGCAGUGGGGAAUAUUGGACAAUGGGCGCAAGCCUGAUCCAGCCAUACCGCGUGGGUGAAGAAGGCCUUCGGGUUGUAAAGCCCUUUUGUUGGGAAAGAAAUCCAUCUGGUUAAUACCCGGGUGGGAUGACGGUACCCAAAGAAUAAGCACCGGCUAACUUCGUGCCAGCAGCCGCCGUAA